RNAcentral lists this ribosomal RNA (536 nucleotides) under uncultured bacterium. Its description in RNAcentral is "bacterial SSU rRNA". It matches the Rfam family "Bacterial small subunit ribosomal RNA", at positions 772 to 1304 of the family's 1533-position model. The record is from RNAcentral.
ACUGAAUAGAUACCCGGGUAGUCCACGCCCUAAACGAUGUCUACUAGUUGUUGGUGGAGUAAAAUCCAUGAGUAAACGCAGCUAAACGCGUGAAGUAGACCGCCUGGGGAGUACGGUCGCAAGAUUAAAAACUCAAAGGAAUUGACGGGGGCCCGCACAAGCGGUGGAUUAUGUGGAUUAAAUUCGAUGCAACGCGAAAAACCUUACCUGGCCUUGACAUGCCACUAACGAAGCAGGGAUGCAUUAGGUGCCCGUAAGGGAAAGUGGACACAGGUGCUGCAUGGCUGUCGUCAGCUCGUGUCGUGAGAUGUUGGGUUAAGUCCCGCAACGAGCGCAACCCUUGCCAUUAAUUGCCAUCAUUUAGUUGGGCACUUUAAUGGGACUGCCGGUGACAAACCGGAGAAGUGGGGAUGACGUCAAGUCCUCAUGGCCCUUAUGGCCAGGGCUUCACACGUAAUACAAUGGUCGGUACAGAGAGUUGCCAACCCGCGAGGGGUAGCUAAUCUCAGAAAGCCGAUCGUAGUCCGGAUUGUUCU